AGUGAGGAAUAUUGCGCAAUGGAGGAAACUCUGACGCAGCCAUGUCGCGUGCAGGAUGACGGCCCUACGGGUUGUAAACUGCUUUUCUGUGGGAAGAAACUUCCGAACGUGUUCGGAACUGACGGUACCACAGGAAUAAGCAUCGGCUAACUCCGUGCCAGCAGCCGCGGUAAUACGGAGGAUGCAAGCGUUAUCCGGAUUUAUUAGGUUUAAAGGGUGCGUAGGCGGGUUAAUAAGUCAGUGGUGAAAUCCUACAGCUUAACUGUAGAACUGCCAUUGAAACUGUUAGUCUUGAGUAUAGUUGAGGUGGGCGGAACGUGUUAUGUAGCGGUGAAAUGCUUAGAUAUGACACAGAACACCAAUUGCGAAGGCAGCUCACUAAACUAUUACUGACGCUGAGGCACGAAAGCGUGGGGAGCGAACAGGAUUAGAUACCCUGGUAGUCCACGCCGUAAACGAUGAUCACUCGUUGUUCGCAAUAUAUCGUGAGCGACUUAGCGAAAGCAUUAAGUGAUCCACCUGGGGAGUACGUUCGCAAGAAUGAAACUCAAAGGAAUUGACGGGGGCCCGCACAAGCGGAGGAACAUGUGGUUUAAUUCGAUGAUACGCGAGGAACCUUACCUGGGCUUAAAUGUAGAUCGACGUACCGGGAAACUGGUAUUCCCUUCGGGGCGAACUACAAGGUGCUGCAUGGUUGUCGUCAGCUCGUGCCGUGAGGUGUCGGGUUAAGUCCCAUAACGAGCGCAACCCCUAUCGUUAGUUGCCAGCGGAUAAUGCCGGGGACUCUAACGAGACUGCCAUCGUAAGAUGCGAGGAAGGUGGGGAUGACGUCAAAUCAGCACGGCCCUUAUGUCCAGGGCUACACACGUGUUACAAUGGUCGGUACAAAGGGCAGCUACCUGGUGACAGGAUGCUAAUCUCUAAAACCGGUCUCAGUUCGGAUCGAAGUCUGCAAUUCGACUUCGUGAAGUUGGAUUCGCUAGUAAUCGUAUAUCAGCAAUGGUACGGUGAAUACGUUCCCGGGCCUUGUACACACCGCCCGUCAAGCCAUGGAAGCUGGGGGUACCUGAAGUUCGUAACCGUAAGGAGCGACCUAAGGUAAAACCAGUAACUAGGGCU
This 1119-nucleotide ribosomal RNA is filed under the name uncultured bacterium. RNAcentral describes it as "bacterial SSU rRNA". It matches the Rfam family "Bacterial small subunit ribosomal RNA", at positions 353 to 1482 of the family's 1533-position model. The record is from RNAcentral.